RNAcentral lists this transfer RNA (66 nucleotides) under Aythya ferina (common pochard). Its description in RNAcentral is "tRNA-Cys". The record is from RNAcentral. Lineage: Eukaryota; Metazoa; Chordata; Aves; Anseriformes; Anatidae.
GGCCUCGUGGUGAAGUUCAUGUUGAGUUGCAAGCUCAUUGAUGCACAUGAGAGUGUGCCGGGGCCU